Chinchilla lanigera (long-tailed chinchilla) is the source of this 930-nucleotide long non-coding RNA. RefSeq lists it as uncharacterized. NCBI's taxonomy places the organism in Eukaryota, Metazoa, Chordata, Mammalia, Rodentia, Chinchillidae. The transcript has 5 exons. The record is from RefSeq and is a predicted model, not a curated record.
CAAAGGGAUCAUCCAUGAUUUAUGUUCCUGUCCACAUUGUGUAUUACGAUAAGAACCUCCUGAAAAAACAGCAAGUCCAAUGAGAUGUCAAGUAUGUGGUACAAAAAGGCCUGGAAAGCAAAACACAUGUGCUGUCAGUGCAAGCAAUACAUGUAUAUGGAAUAUGCUGAUUUCAUGCGUCAAGACUACCUUAGUUCUGUAGACUGGGAAACUCAAGCUUGAGGGGCCAUAAUUGGUGAAGGCUUUCUUAUUCAUCGCCCCCUGUUCAAAGCAGAAGAACAAGAAAUCACACAACAGAGACAGAGCAAGGGAGCCAAGUUCAUCCUUUUAGUAGGACCCCACAACUAUGUAAAGGAUUCCAGUUACGGAGAGCUACUCCAGGGAGUCAUGGCAUAGCACCACCACCAAGAGUGGAAACACAGGUCCUUCUAUGGGAGUGUCGAUAGUCUAAUGAACGAGUAAAGUAAGAAUGUUGCUGAUUUAUGGAGCAUUACGAAAAACUCCUCGCUUUACUUCCUUAAGCUCCCUAGGGUUGGUCUCAAGACAGAAACACUUAAUCAGAUUCCUUCUGUAAAGAGCUAUCCUCCUCCACAGACACACCACUUCACAAAAUGUGGGGGGUCAAAGUCAGGAGACUGCUUCAGAAACCUUUUUGUGCGAUGGUUUAUGGAACGGAGCAAAAGUACACAUAACCCCAGACAGACUUACAAGUACAUACUUGUUUAUCCAGGUAGAAAUUCUGAACCUUCUAAGUCUGCCAUUCAUGAGAAGGUAUUUCAUUAUUCAUAGACUGGUUAUAAAGUAUGUACUUAUUUUCCAGGAAAUGUAAGUAGAGAAAGACAUGCCCAUGGGGUUACAUAAAACCCUAUCUGUGCCGAAGACAUUUGACUCAUUGUUCAAAACAAAUUUGUGCCUCCACAAAUAUGACUC